Molecule: long non-coding RNA, 610 nt
Organism: Hyaena hyaena (striped hyena)
Lineage: Eukaryota; Metazoa; Chordata; Mammalia; Carnivora; Hyaenidae
Exons: 3
Source: RefSeq, a predicted model, not a curated record
CAGGUUUCUACCUGGACAUGAUGAAAUUCCAAGCAUGUUCUUAACUCCAUCCCAGGUUUCAAGGUGUAUUAGUAUAAAGAAUUCCUCUCCAUCUGAGGCAAUGAUAUUGGUCUGAGCACUGCUGGAGAGUUCGAGGUCCCAGACUCACCAUGGAUGCUGGCUUUGUCACAGGGAACUGUUUGAGGCCUGGCCCUCUGGGAGUAACAUGCUGCUGAUAAUAGUCUCUGCAAGGUGACCCUCUCAAGCUCAGAUAUCCUUCUGUCUUCUGGCCCCUGUCCCCCACCUCCACCAAGCCCCUAUGAGCAACCUACGGACAGGUUGCACUCAGCAGUACAGGAGAGCUCUCAGAGAGUUCAUGAGACUAUGUGGCCAGUCAUUUGGAAGCCAAGGCCACUGUCACCGACAUCCUAACACCAAGCUCACUUUUGCAAUAAUACAAAAGUGUACUGACCAGGCACACAGAUGCCGAUUACAAGACCGCUCUAGAGACACAGACAUCCCUGAAUCUACUCACUGUCCCCUGAACACACUGGCCACAGGGUACUGUUUGGAGAGAAGCCUCAUUGUUCGAACCGAAUGGAACAGCCCCGGCCUACCUAGCAAUGCAGAU